UCCUGGAGAGACACAGAACAGUGUGUUCAGUGCAAUCUGGACACGCCAUUUAGCCCUCCUUUUCAGGAAAAAGUGAUUCAAAUCUCACACCUACGGCUUUCUGUCACCGUGUAUGGAUUAUGUUGAAAAUGCACUCUGAGAAUGUACUUGUGCAAACCACAGUGUGUUUAAACUGGCAUGCAUUUGUAACUCUAAAAAAUAUUAAACUCAUGUUGGGAAGGAAGACAGGGUGAAAUCACUUGUCUCUGGCGAUGUUGCUAUAUGGCAGGUCUCAAAGUGGGGUCUGAGAGCCAGGAACCUGUGGCAUCUGUUAGGUCUGAAAAUUCUCCUAGGACCACACCCCCUACUAUGUCAGGAUCCCUAAGUGUCUCCUGCCACCCACUUUCCCACACCUUCUAGGGGCCUCAGACGCAUGCUGGAAUUUGAGAACUGCUGCUCUAAGAGGUUAUUUUCUUUCCAAACACUUAUCUCAUUUCCCACAGCACAGCAGGUGGGAUGCAGCUCCCGGUACCCAGACCUGGCCUGUUUCGAUUUGUUCACUGAUGCAAAACCAUCCUCUCCCUGGGAAGCACCUAUGAGCCACUUCCUGCCGGUGAUGGUUUGCUAAGAGAAUGCUUUUCACCUGGCUUCGUGCUAGCCUCUGCAGGGGCCCACAUGUGCUAGAUUCCCCAGGCCCAGAGCCAGAGGUCUGGCUAAGUAUCUGUGCACUUCCGAGCUUUCCCAAGAGGCUGCGUGCAGCAACUCAGGGGGUGGGGAUGGGGGGAGGCCGAGCUGGCCUGCUUCAGCCUGUGUUGAUUUUGUCCAGGGUCCAAGUUCCCUCAAGCUCCACAUGGUUCUUUUUAGGAGAGGAGCCGCGAGCCCUCAGAACUUGGCAGCCCGACAGAGGGAGCACUAUGUCACCCUGCGUCCUGCCCACUUGCUAUCCUGGAUCUCAGACUCUGUCCUCUCAGCAGACUCCCGGGGAGACGGUUCACACUUUGGGACACUCCCCCGGAAACCACAGGCAUCUGCGAGGCUCUCCGCCCUCGGAGAGUACGGGAUGGACCCUGAGCAGGAUACACUGACCCACCUCGACUUCAGCGGUCUCUGUUUCGUUCGUGCUUCUCCGCUUCCUGCCCCGCUUCGGGUAGCCAUUGAUCUUGCAUUCGUAGCAAGCUUCUGGCGAAAGGGAGUUGUCGUCCAUUUCACCGCUGACUGGUGGGUCUGGGCCUCCGCGGCUCAUGCCCAUCCCGGACACACAGUGCCUGCGGCAAAGGAGGGCGACAGAUGGUUUCCAUGGGAUCUGGGAAGCAGGGAACCUGGCCCAUCCUCGCCACAUUGAGACGUGGAUGACCUCCUGGCUCUGAGAGCCUCACCAAGGUCCUGUGCUUGACCUCUGAUUCCCAGUGCCCAGUUUGUUAUUUGUUUUCUCUCUCUCUCUCUCUCUCUCUCUCUCUCUCUCUCUCUCUCUCUCUCUCUCUCUCUCUCUCUCUCUUUCUUAAAACUCUGCUUUGUCUACUUUGUCUUUCUUUGCCCUCUCAUUUCCCAAACCUACCGGGGCCAGCACUUCAGCACUUGGUAGGACUUACCUGGGGAAGGAACACAGCGGAACUAAAGGGCAAUGGGGCUCAGGCAGACUGGGAGGUGGCAGAUUAAAUAAAACAUGUCUUCAUUUCAGGAAUCAGACCUCGUAGGAGUGAGAAAACCCACUCAGGGAGCCCCUUCUGGGCCAAGGCACCUUUCCUGACCACCAUAUUUGGUCUGCAUUCUGGACUUUGACCUCUAACAUUGCCUCUGCCACCACACUGCUCCCUGCUGGUCAAGAAGGUGACUCCAAGUACAAGACGUCCUUCCUUAGCUCCGGGUGCCACUGGUCCGCCAUCUGCUUUCCUGCCACCUUUCACCCCCAUGCCAAGCUUCCUUACUAGGCUCCUGGCAAUUACUUCUAUGCUUUGGCUCUUUCAUUUUUGCUGAUGCUAUUGCAGAUAGGAAGGAGGAGCCAGGUGAUAGCUGGGGCUGAGCUGGUAACAGACUGAGGCUGUGCCCCCACACACAGGUACACACACGCACACACAUACACACAGUGCACAGAUUGGCAUAUAAAGCACCCGCUCACAGCUUGCCCAACUGUGGGAAACAACUUCAAGUCAUUCAAAACCACUGGGGCCAUUGGCUUUGGCUCAUGUGAAGUGGGAUAAACAAACCGGGGCCCAGAGGGAUCUGCAUCUGUUGGUUUUCUUGCUUUUCAGGCAUCAAAGCCAAGCUAUGCAGCAAGGUCUGUGUGUUUCUCAGUGCCUUGUUUUGCUGCUCUAUUUACUAUUUCAAUAGCCACUUGGGUACAUAUCAGGUUCCUCUUCCAACUCGCUGAAACAUUCGCGUGGUCCUAAAAUAUCUUUAUCUUAAAGUUCACUCUGGUGAUGUGAAGCGGGGCCAAGACUGUUACAAAUCCGUAGACUUCUACUACUGUGUGCUCUGGAGGCCAGAUAUCAUUUACCUGUUUCUCCGCCGUAACCUGCUCUCCAUAAAGCAUUUUCCUGUAUGCCCUUACGAUUCAAAAGCAACUGUAAUCAAAGGUUCCUAUUUCCCCGUCCCACUAGACUGCGGCACAUUAUCCUUCCUCUUUAUCUUGCAACAUGAAAUGUCUAGAAGCAAUAAAACUGAUAAGAUAAUGAACGCUCCUCCGGGUGCGUACCUCCUACCCACACGCUGAUUCCAUUACCGAGGUAAACCCCUGGCUCACAAGCUUUGCUGCCUUUCUCAGAACUUCCCCAUAUUCCCUAUCCCAGGAGCACCACUUAUAAGAAAUGUGACUACAAAAUCCCGCUGGCCGAAAGCCAGUUUGUAGUGUCACAAUUUUUGCUGGGAAAUAUGGUUUUGGCACUUGGCUGUAAAGAACAGACAUGGACCUUGGGGAAUUGGUUUGCUAUUCUAUGCCGGCCUUGGGCAGGCUUCCCCGGAAACAUUCCUUACCUUCAAGCUGACGCGGGCACCAAGGGAAUCACUCAGUGCUUGAGGGACUUUUAAGACCUCUCGACCAACUCAUGGCACAAGUGUGCAUGUGUGUGUAUGAGCGUGUGUCUGUAGCAGUGGGAGUACACACACACACACACACACACACACACACACACACACACAGUAAUAUCUCUGUGUUUCUACAUAAAAGAUUUAAAAAUUACCACCCUUCACAGGAUAGCUAAAACUUGGUAGACACCCACCCCUGGGUUAAUUCAGCAUGGGAAAAGACCAGAACUUUGAAAACUUGCCACUACGCUUUUAAUUAUGGAGAAGAAAAGGUCUUCUUUGCCUCAACUGUCACAUAUAUAUUAUACCUAUAAAUAAUUUGGUGAAAUUGCUACCUGGGAAAUACAAUAACGACUUUAACCCAUAUUUAAUUGCUCCUUUGGCAACUUGUGAGCAUAAACUCAAGUCUGAAGUGCAAGAUGGACCUUAAAACCCCGGAAAGCUCCUCUGAGGAUGUGCUGCGUGGCGGAUGCCAAGGGCGGCUGGAUAGAAGGUGUCCUAAGGCCAGCGUGAAUCCUGCCCGCCCCAGUUCUGCCCUAGGUGGACAGGGAGAUGCGCACCUGGAGAGAGCCGUCUGCUCCCCAAGAGUGAGCUACAGCCAUAGAAGCUGCAAUGUCUGUGUCCAGCUGUCCCUCCAAAGCCUCAUGUGGGCACAGAGUUUUUUAGGAGGUGUCUGAAUCCAGGCUGUGUGACUGAUUUGUGGUGCGAUGCUGCGAUUAAGGGUGGGUGACUGCUGACCAGUCCACUGAUUGGACUGGCACCGCCCUGAUCCUGGCAGAUAGCAUACAAUCUCAGGGACAGAAAGAGGCUUGUCUUCUCUCUCCCUUGCUUGCUUUUGCUGUCUUCUGCUUGCCAUGAGCUGGCUCUCUUCUGUGAUGCCCGCCUGCCAAGCCACCCUGCCUUGGAAACAGCGGACUAUGGAGUGAAACCUCUGCAAACUGUGAGCUAAAUAAACCUUUUCCCUUAUAACUUUGGGUGCUGGGUAUUUUGUCUCAGUAACAAGAAAAGUAACCAAGACAGGAGCUUACCUGUCUGCACAUCCUUUACACUAGGAGACUCAUGUCCCCACCCACAGUCCCUCAGGCUAAAGGGUUCCUGAAGUAGAAAGGAUGAACUUUUGCCCCAUCUGGGCUCUUUUUCCUUUCAUUUGAAUUAGGGAUGAGGUAUGUGAUGGAGACCACAGGCACCAAGCCGUACAGCAAACAGAAGGGAAGGCAGCAGAUGUUUCCUUGGCUUACGUGAAUCAGCUGACCUCUCCCUGCUCCUUUGUGUCCUGUCCCUGCUCUGCACCUGCUCUUGGGCCCUAGAAGUAGAUCCGAGUGGAGCCUCAUCAGGUUGUUUGUCCUUCCCUUUGGCUUGGGCUUGGCUGGCAGCCUGCCUGCCCCAGCUCACAGGUGCAGGCAGGUGAGAGGACAUCCACUGAUAAGGAGCUCUGAUGUGGGCAGGAAGGCAGAAGCAGGACCGGAGGUUGGAAGGCGGGAGAGGGAAAGAUAUUCAUUCAUCACUGGAAAGACAUUUUGUAAGUGUUCCCAUGAACUGUACAGGGCUGGGCUACCCCGGGAGAGGAUAAGCACCUCUCAAGGUGGAAAUCAAGCCACAUGUGCAUGGGCAGGGUCGCUGGAGGUGGGGCACCUUCGUGUCAGGAAAGAGGGCAGAUUUAAUGGUCUGCAAACUCUGAGUCUCUAUAUGCAUGCCUGCCAAUAUUCAUUCUAGCCAGGAAUGCUCCUCCUCCCCUUUAUGUAAACUUUUCUAGUUUAUUUUACUUCUUCCCCCCGAGAAUCCCACGAAGUUUCAAUGAAACUUGCUUAUCGAGGCUGGAGAGAGGCGACAGAGUGGAGCACAGAUUCAGAUAAGUCAGCAAACACACAGCACUUACAGAGUACCUCUGUGCGUUCCAGCUUUUUAUCGAUCUACAAACACCACAAUUCGGUUUGUGCUCUGCCUGAUUCUUUGAUCUGGUGGAGCCCAAAGCUAAUGGCUCCUCAGGAUAUUUUUCUACACUCUAAAACAUUUGCCUUUUUCUUUUAUUUGGUAUUUCCAUUGUGGAGAGCCUUGCUCUUUGCACAGAACAGACAAUUCUAAUUUUUUUAAAAAAAGUCUCUGAAAACCACUUCUUAAAAGUAGAUGGAGCCUUUACCACUCUGACCUCUGAAAUCAAUGGCACCAGCCUCAGGGUCCUGGAGUGUGAGUUAGUUGUCGAGUCAAGGACAUCCCCACAGGAAUCCCCCAAACAGAAAAUAGGCUUUUACUAAUUUCUUCUAGGACAGAAGGGAAUAACUCCAACUGCAAGUGAAAAUUGUGGUGUCUGCAUGGAAAUACCUACCCUGAACCCAGUCUUGGGAAGAGUGAGCUUCUGGCUAACCAUGAGUGAGGGCCAGCAGGGCCAGCCCAAUGCUCUUUCUGGGUUUCCCUAAGUCCUGAGAUUUAUGAAGCCAGUUUGGGAUUUAGGGACAUGGAGAACCCUAAACCUCUUCCAACAUCUUAAUAAACUUAUUCUUGUAAAGUAUCCAGGCAGCGGAUGCUCUUCCCAGGGUCACGGUAGACUCUGGACAAUAGGGCCUGCCUGGCCAUCUGUGCUAUCUGCAGGGUGGAGGCUGCAGGGAGGAGAAGGUUCAGGACCGAUGCCCCUUUCUUUCUUUGUAUUUCCUCCCAUAGCUUCCCAUGUCACUACGGGAACCUAUGCAAUGGGAAGACACAGGCUCAGCUAGUCAGUAUUCAAACACGGUUCACUUUAGAGCACACUGGUGAUUAAAAUCAAAGACCUUUCCAAUUUUCAUAAUUGUAAGGCUCAAUUCUGAUAUGACUCUUCCAGCACCUAACCUGAGGAGUGCAUCACUGGGUUGCAAACACAGGAUGUCUUAAAAGAGGUAAGAUGGAACAUGGACUCUUCCAAAUACCCCGAACAUCUGAAGACAGCCAAGCACUCAAACUGAAUGUCUCAAGAACUUUGGCCAUGGAGGCACAAGACAUUCAAGGAACUGUGACCACUGAGGUUUACUAAGAACUUCCCACCUAAAGUCCCUGGCCUUCUUUCAAGCCCAAUAAAAAACUUGCUUCUCUUUGUUUCCUACAGACGGCCUUUUCACCCUCUGU
This is a long non-coding RNA of Cavia porcellus (domestic guinea pig), 6093 nucleotides long. RefSeq lists it as uncharacterized. The record is from RefSeq and is a predicted model, not a curated record. The transcript is spliced from 3 exons. NCBI's taxonomy places the organism in Eukaryota, Metazoa, Chordata, Mammalia, Rodentia, Caviidae.